GGGAUAUUCUGUAUAAGGUUGUACGGUUUGAUUGCAGAUCAUAAUCAUGAGGUUCAAUUCCUCAAUAUCCCU
Molecule: transfer RNA, 72 nt
Filed under: Parmotrema stuppeum
Lineage: Eukaryota; Fungi; Ascomycota; Lecanoromycetes; Lecanorales; Parmeliaceae
Description: tRNA-Cys
Rfam family: tRNA
About the family: Transfer RNA (tRNA) molecules are approximately 80 nucleotides in length.
Source: RNAcentral